Molecule: ribosomal RNA, 101 nt
Filed under: Clostridioides difficile
Lineage: Bacteria; Bacillati; Bacillota; Clostridia; Peptostreptococcales; Peptostreptococcaceae
Source: RNAcentral
AGAGGAUACACCUGUUCCCAUUCCGAACACAGAAGUUUAAGCUCUCUAGCGCUGAUGGUACUUGGUGGGAAACUGCCUGGGAGAGUAGGACGUAGCCACGU